UAUAUUGGACUAAGAAAGAUAAUAGAAAGGAUAAGAUCAAUGCUGGGGGAAAAGGCAAACUUUACCCUGAUAAAGGGGAGAGAAGGUGAAUUCUACCAACCAUGGGAAGAUGGGGACACUGAGGAGAUUAGGUGAUACGUCCAAGGUCCCACAAGUGGUGGAGAAUGUUUGUAAUUAUACUUAUUUAAAUCCCAUGUGGAGCGGCUGGGUGGAGCAGCAGCAAAUAGAGCACCAGGCCUGGAGGCAUGAAGACUAGUUUUCUUGAGUUCAAAUCUGAUCUCAGAAA
This is a non-coding RNA of Phascolarctos cinereus (koala), 286 nucleotides long. Lineage: Eukaryota; Metazoa; Chordata; Mammalia; Diprotodontia; Phascolarctidae. The record is from RefSeq and is a predicted model, not a curated record.